AGCGGCGGACGGGUGAGUAACGCGUGGGCAACCUGCCCCAUACAGAGGGAUAGCCACUGGAAACGGUGAUUAAUACCUCAUGAGUCAGUAAGAUCGCAUGAUAUAGCUGACAAAGAUUUAUCGGUAUGGGAUGGGCCCGCGUCUGAUUAGCUAGUUGGUGAGGUAACGGCUCACCAAGGCGACGAUCAGUAGCCGACCUGAGAGGGUGAUCGGCCACACUGGAACUGAGACACGGUCCAGACUCCUACGGGAGGCAGCAGUGGGGAAUAUUGCACAAUGGGCGCAAGCCUGAUGCAGCAACGCCGCGUGAGUGAUGAAGGCCUUCGGGUUGUAAAACUCUGUCCUAUGGGAAGAAACAAAUGACGGUACCAUGGGAGGAAGCCCCGGCUAACUACGUGCCAGCAGCCGCGGUAAUACGUAGGGGGCAAGCGUUAUCCGGAAUCACUGGGCGUAAAGGGUGCGUAGGUGGCUUAUCAAGCCAGAGGUGAAAGGCAGUGGCUCAACCAUUGUAAGCCUUUGGAACUGAUUAGCUUGAGUGCAGGAGAGGUAAGUGGAAUUCCUAGUGUAGAGGUGAAAUUCGUAGAUAUUAGGAGGAACACCAGUGGCGAAGGCGACUUACUGGACUGUAACUGACACUGAGGCACGAAAGCGUGGGUAGCGAACAGGAUUAGAUACCCUGGUAGUCCACGCC
RNAcentral lists this ribosomal RNA (691 nucleotides) under uncultured bacterium. RNAcentral's name for it is "bacterial SSU rRNA". It matches the Rfam family "Bacterial small subunit ribosomal RNA", at positions 94 to 801 of the family's 1533-position model. The record is from RNAcentral.